UACGUAAGUCCCAAGCGUUACUCGGAAUUACUGGGUGUAAAGGGUUUGUAGGCGGAUGAUUAAGUCGGAAAUGAAAGACCGGGGCUCAACCCCGUGUUAGUCUUCGAUACUGGUCGUCUAGAGUUAGGAAGAGGUAAGCGGAAUUCUAAGUGUAGGGGUGUAAUCCGUAGAUACUUAGAAGAACACCAAAAGCGAAGGCAGCUUACUGGUACUAUACUGACGCUGAGAAACGAAAGCGUGGGUAGCGAAAAGG
RNAcentral lists this ribosomal RNA (253 nucleotides) under uncultured bacterium. Its description in RNAcentral is "partial 16S ribosomal RNA". It matches the Rfam family "Bacterial small subunit ribosomal RNA", at positions 524 to 776 of the family's 1533-position model. The record is from RNAcentral.